GGCAGAUCUAGCCCUGGCCCCCACUAGGGCCCCAGACCAGCUGAGGUGGCCACAGGGACAAUGAUGCCAUUUGCUUCUAGCACUCCUGCCCUCAUCCCCUGAGGCCCCUCCCCUCCUCCCAGUGGAGAGUUCUGGACAGGAAUAGGCCUGAGCUUUUAGGACGGCAGGUGUUCUUAAAGAUGAAUAAUGCUCCACCCCCCAUGCUGGGUCUUCUGGGGAUGAGCCACAGCCUGGAGGAGCUGAGGAGGCCACAUCACAUGAGGAAGCUUUACUGUUUCCCCUUCUCCUGAAAUGUGUCUGGGAUGGAGAGUGUGGAGAGUGGGCCCACCUUUAUCUGGGUCCACUCAGGCUGCUGCAGAGACUACCCCAGACUGGGUGGCUGAUAGACAAGACAUUCAUUUUCCACACUUCCUGAGACUGAGAAGUCUGAGAUGAAGGAUCUUGGAGGACCUGGGGAUCAACAGCCAGACUUGGAUGCUCAGGAUGAUUUGGGAUGUGCUUCUAACUACCUGUACUGUCUGGAGAAACCUAGAAGCAAGGAAGCUGCCACCAUGAUGCAGCGGGGAGUCCGAGGCCCUGGGAGGUCAUAUGACUCAUUCAAGGUCAUCCUGCUGUGGCAGAGAUGCGAUGAAGCCCUGGCUUUGUGAGUACCUGGUCUAACCUUCUCAUUAUUCUGGAGGAAGCUCUGAGACAAAGGUAGGGUGCAAGAGGCCAGGAGCAAAGGUAGAGGAGGCCUAGGCCUGGUUGGGUCCCGCCCCAACUGACCGUGACUUCCUUUAGCCUCUAUGAAUCUGUCGUGGAGGGAUGAAUCCCUGCUAUGCUCCCUUUUCAGGCUGCUGGGCCACCCAUGGUCAUUGCGGUAAUUUAAGAACACAGCCAUACGUUCUUCAACACUCCUCUUAUUGAGUAACAACCUCUGUGAUCCCUCCCCUUUAGUCUGGGCAGAUUUGUGACUGCUUCACCCUGCAGAGAAUGGCAGAAGAGAUGCCAAGUUAGUAAAGACCAUGCAGCUUUUGCUCACUGGCUCAUGUGCUCCUGGAGCCCUGAGCCACCACAGAGGGUGUAAGAAGAAUCACUGAUCGGGGGCUGCCAUGCUGUAAGGAUGCCCAAGCCACAAGGAGAGUCUGGGUUUAGGCACUCUGGUUAGCAGUCCCAGCUGAGCCCAGCCAUCAAGCCUCUCCUGCUGUUUGAGUUUUCCCAGCUGAGGCCUCAGAUGUCAUGGAGCAGAGACAAAUCUGCCCUGUUAUGCUCGGUCUGAACUCCUGGCCCAUAGAACCUGGGAGCAGGG
RNAcentral lists this long non-coding RNA (1288 nucleotides) under Sus scrofa (pig). RNAcentral's name for it is "lncRNA (ENSSSCG00070001422.1)". Lineage: Eukaryota; Metazoa; Chordata; Mammalia; Artiodactyla; Suidae. The record is from RNAcentral.